Molecule: long non-coding RNA, 838 nt
Filed under: Ananas comosus (pineapple)
Lineage: Eukaryota; Viridiplantae; Streptophyta; Magnoliopsida; Poales; Bromeliaceae
Description: long non-coding RNA (ACOM_LNC005272)
Source: RNAcentral
GGGAGAUCUCUCUGGGUUAGGGACUUGCUGGGGGUGUUAACGAAGGAGAGGAAUCUAAGAGAGAGAGAGAGAGAGGAGCUGUGAAUGGUAAAUGACUGGAGCGACACGGAGACGAAGGGAAAUGGACGGGUCGAACCGGUCGAACUGGUCCGGUCAGAGUCGGGCCCGAAACUUAGGCUUGUAGAUUUUGUGCCGAAUAUGGACCGAAAAAUUAAUUACCCCAAAGGCCUGGAUUUUUCGAGUCUCCAUUUUGUCUAUAAUCAUAUCCACGCAAUUUUUAUUUAGAAAAACUUUAAAUAUCAACCUUAUAAUUUCGGACUUUUUUACUUUAAUACUCUAUAAUUUAAAAUGUAUCACUUUUGUAUUCUUUGGUUUAUUUUUUUUUCUUUCCGUUACCCCCUUCGUUAAUUUUUUCGUUAAAUCAAUAGAAAGUUAAAACCACAUCGUACUAAACUAAAAAUUUAGUAAAUCAUAAGGGGAAUAUCUAAAGUUUUUUUUGUAUAUAAUUUAAUGUAGAGUUAACAAAACGUUGACGUAAAAUAAAAAUAAAACCACAGGAUGCUCAAGUGAUANUUCUCUUUUUCUUAUCAAUUUCAUUAUUUUUUUUUCCUUAAAUCAGUAAUAAAGUUAAAAUUAAAGGUAUUAAAGUGAAUAUUUGAUAAAUCAUAGGUGGAAUAUCUAAAGUUUUUUUUGUAUAUAAUUUAAUGUAGAGUUAACAAAACGUUGACGUAAAAUAAAAAUAAAACCACAGGAUGCUCAAGUGAUACACUUUAAAGCACAGGGUAGUAAAAUGAGAAAGCACGAAAUCACAGGAUAGUAUUUGAAGUUUAUCCUUUUU